AUCCUAGCUGUAAACGAUGCUGACUAGGUGUGGGAGGUAUCGACCCCUUCCGCGCCGCCGCUAACGCAUUAAGUCAGCCGCCUGGGGAGUACGGCCGCAAGGUUAAAACUCAAAGGAAUUGACGGGGGCCCCGCACAAGCGGUGGAGCAUGUGGUUUAAUUCGACGCUACGCGAAGAACCUUACCUGGGCUCGAACGACUGGUAGUAGUCCCGAUGAAAGUUGGGGCGACCCGCAAGGGAGCCAGCCGAGGUGCUGCAUGGCUGUCGU
Molecule: ribosomal RNA, 268 nt
Filed under: uncultured bacterium
Lineage: Bacteria
Description: partial 16S ribosomal RNA
Rfam family: Bacterial small subunit ribosomal RNA
Source: RNAcentral